Molecule: non-coding RNA, 123 nt
Organism: Triticum aestivum (bread wheat)
Lineage: Eukaryota; Viridiplantae; Streptophyta; Magnoliopsida; Poales; Poaceae
Source: Rfam
AUCAUACUCCCUCGUCCGGAAUUACUUGUCGCAGAAAUGGAUGUAUCUAGACGUAUUUUAGUUCUACAUACAUCCAUUUUUAUCCAUUUCCGCACAAGCAAUUCGGGACGGAGGGAGUAUGUU